Molecule: ribosomal RNA, 481 nt
Filed under: uncultured Thiobacillus sp.
Lineage: Bacteria; Pseudomonadati; Pseudomonadota; Betaproteobacteria; Nitrosomonadales; Thiobacillaceae
Description: bacterial SSU rRNA
Rfam family: Bacterial small subunit ribosomal RNA
Source: RNAcentral
AAACUCAAAGGAAUUGACGGGGACCCGCACAAGCGGUGGAUGAUGUGGAUUAAUUCGAUGCAACGCGAAGAACCUUACCUACCCUUGACAUGUCCGGAACUUGCCAGAGAUGGCUUGGUGCCCGAAAGGGAAUCGGAACACAGGUGCUGCAUGGCUGUCGUCAGUUCGUGUCGUGAGAUGUUGGGUUAAGUCCCGCAACGAGCGCAACCCUUAUCAUUAGUUGCUACGCAAGGGCACUCUAAUGAGACUGCCGGUGACAAACCGGAGGAAGGUGGGGAUGACGUCAAGUCCUCAUGGCCCUUAUGGGUAGGGCUUCACACGUCAUACAAUGGUCGGUACAGAGGGUUGCCAACCCGCGAGGGGGAGCUAAUCCCACAAAGCCGAUCGUAGUCCGGAUCGUAGUCUGCAACUCGACUACGUGAAGUCGGAAUCGCUAGUAAUCGUGGAUCAGAAUGUCACGGUGAAUACGUUCCCGGGUCUU